RNAcentral lists this small nuclear RNA (306 nucleotides) under Dipodomys ordii (Ord's kangaroo rat). RNAcentral describes it as "7SK RNA". It matches the Rfam family "7SK RNA". Rfam says of the family: 7SK was discovered as an abundant small nuclear RNA in the mid-70s but a possible function has only recently been suggested. Two independent studies have found that 7SK RNA binds the CDK9/cyclin T complex (known as elongation factor P-TEFb). Lineage: Eukaryota; Metazoa; Chordata; Mammalia; Rodentia; Heteromyidae. The record is from Rfam by way of RNAcentral.
UUGAGGGCGAUCUGGCUGCAACAUCUGUCACCCCAUUUAUCGUCAGAGUUGAUUCAGUUGAUGUAGCUGGCUAGGCGGGUGUCCCCUCCCUCCCUCCAGUGCUCCAGAAGCUGCAUACUCCAUUGAAGAGGAUGGCCAUCCCUGAUAGAGGAGGACUGGUCUUCGAUCAAGGGAUAUGAGUAGCUGCGCUCCCCUGCUAGAAUCUCCAAACAAGCUCUCAAGGUCCAAAUCUUAUGAUGAAGCUCCAUCUCUUUGUGCUUUUCAGAGCUUCAUGGUACUUACUUCAAUGUGCAAGUAUAUACCUGU